This is a non-coding RNA of Klebsiella pneumoniae IS43, 136 nucleotides long. NCBI's taxonomy places the organism in Bacteria, Pseudomonadati, Pseudomonadota, Gammaproteobacteria, Enterobacterales, Enterobacteriaceae. The record is from Rfam.
UAUAAUGCUUUGCGAUAUUAUUGGUUUUUUAUGCUGGUUUAAUCCAAAGGGAGUAUCACUGCAUUCGCGAAAAGGAUUAUUGCCCGGUAUCAAUAAGGGCGUAAAAAAAAGCGCCCGCAGGCGCUUUUAAAAGAAG